RNAcentral lists this long non-coding RNA (1858 nucleotides) under Marmota monax (woodchuck). Lineage: Eukaryota; Metazoa; Chordata; Mammalia; Rodentia; Sciuridae. The record is from RNAcentral.
GUGAGGGAACUUCUAUACAGUGACAUGUUCCAGCUGCUGCAACAUUUACUCAGUACUCAUGGUUUUUGUUUCUCUCAUAGAAGAACCCAUCCCCAGAUGACUUUACAACCUGUUUUUCCCCAACCAGACUUCAAAACGAACUGACUUCUAAAAGGCAACUCAUGUCCCUCAACUGACUUCUAAAAGGUAACUCAUGUCCCUCAUGCCGUGCCCACUCACGUCACCCUCUCUCAGCUCAGAAGAAGCCAAAAUGUCUGAUGCCUCUUUUCUUACAACAAUGAAGCCAAAAAAUAAAGAGACUAUCAAUAUAAGUAGUUAAUUAAGUCAGGUAAAAUCAGGAAUCCAGUUUUGGGUGAGUUCUAAAAAUUUGGAGACUCUUACCAGAGGGAUUAAAAUUCCCUCAGUGCUCUUCCCCUACCCUAUCAAAGAUUUGGAAGGGACACAUUAAAAAAGGGAGAAUGAUAGACCCAACCUGAUCAUUUAUUAAAAUUGGGAGCCAUUUUGCCACAAAACCAUGAAAAGAUAAUUUUGGCUUUACUAUAAAUUACUGCAAAUUCUGAACCUGCUUGUAAUGCCUGCCCGUGCCUUGAACUCACCCACGCCUGGCUCUCUGACCAGUUAGCAGCCCUCUCUGAAACUUUAGUGACACCUCAUUAAUAUUGGCCUUCCCUGGCCAGACAACAACCCUCGCUGAGGCUCUAAUGGUCCUCAUAAAUUCUUAUGAUGGGGCCAGCAAAAAAAAAAAAAAAAAAUGUAAACUAGCAUUAGUGUGAUGCUUGUCAGAGUUCUGUUAUCUGUAACCCCCCUUUUGUGUAACUUUCUGGGCUAUAAAGCUGGGCUGUAGGAAAGGUGGGGUUGCUGUCUUGUUUCCGCCAAUUUGAGAGGGAGAGGCAGCCCGGCCAGUGGAAAUAGUAAGCUUGCUUUAAUUUAAUUUUAAUUGGAGUCAGUGGUCUUUUCUCGUGUCCUGGUCUAACAGGUAAACACUCCACAAACAUGGAGCUCUGCCGGCCUAAAACUUCUUGGGAUACUGCCCCUGACCUUGGGCACUUGAAAUAUACAUUUUUGUCAGGAGCUUUAGCUUCUUUGUAUUGAGACCAUCAAAGCUGGGUAUGCAUCUAUGUGACCUGGAGGACACGGUUUCUUAUUUUCCAAUGAACAUGAGGCAGCAGUGCUGAAUUCUCUCUUUGUAGGGAAACUGUGGCCACUGAAGGCUAAGUGUCUCCCCAUGUGCACUCUGAAGCCAUUUGCUCAUCUUCCACUUUUCGUGGUGUUUCUUGCUGCUGCACUGGGAGUUUAGUAUUUGCUUCACAAAACACAAGGAGAACAACAGGGACUCAGUGCUGGAGGGAUUUCUCACACGUGUGGUCGGUGAAGGGCUGCAGGAGAAUACACCAACCAGGCUUCUAUCCCACAUAGCUUGCCCCCUUGACCAUUGCAACCUGAUUCUGAAUAUUGCCCUGAAACCUCUUCAUAUAACAAGAUGCCUUUUUAUGGAGUGGUCAGACAUAUAAGGGAUUACUGGCUGCACCAUGUCAGCCACAAGUCAUUUGGAAGUCAAUGGCAUAUCCACAUGGCCCCACCAGAAAUGUUUUAUCACACACCUGCACACCACAGCUCUGGGUCACUACUCAGCAGACUCCAACAUACAGGAAUCUUUCUUCUACACCAUUUUCAUGAAACCCAGUCAAUCAAGGCACUGUCUGGUACACUCAUGAUCAGCAACAGGACAUCCAAAGGUAUUCCAGUGCCACCUGGUCAUAAGAGUUUCAAAAAUUUCAUGGUAUUUAUCUAGCCAUUUUUCAAGGAUGAAGUUGGAGACACUGUGGGCUUCAAUUCAUUCAGGAAACAUUAAAUGGUG